AUUGAACGCUGGCGGCAUGCUUUACACAUGCAAGUCGAACGGCAGCGGGGAGGAGCUUGCUUCUCUGCCGGCGAGUGGCGAACGGGUGAGUAAUACAUCGGAACGUGUCGAGAAGAGGGGGAUAACCACCCGAAAGGGUGGCUCAUACCGCAUAAAUUCCGUGGAAGAAAGCUGGGGACCUAGGAAUAGGCCUAGCGCUUUUUGAGCGGCCGAUGUCGGAUUAGCUAGUUGGUGGGGUAAAGGCUCACCAAGGCGAAGAUCUGUAGCGGGUCUGAGAGGAUGAUCCGCCACACUGGGACUGAGACACGGCCCAGACUCCUACGGGAGGCAGCAGUGGGGAAUUUUGGACAAUGGGGGCAACCCUGAUCCAGCCAUGCCGCGUGUAUGAAGAAGGCCUUAGGGUUGUAAAGUACUUUUGUUAGGGAAGAAAAGCCAGCGGUGAAUAAUGGCCUGUACUGACGGUACCUAAAGAAUAAGCACCGGCUAACUACGUG
RNAcentral lists this ribosomal RNA (494 nucleotides) under uncultured bacterium. Its description in RNAcentral is "partial 16S ribosomal RNA". It matches the Rfam family "Bacterial small subunit ribosomal RNA", at positions 30 to 507 of the family's 1533-position model. The record is from RNAcentral.